RNAcentral lists this ribosomal RNA (253 nucleotides) under uncultured bacterium. RNAcentral's name for it is "partial 16S ribosomal RNA". It matches the Rfam family "Bacterial small subunit ribosomal RNA", at positions 524 to 776 of the family's 1533-position model. The record is from RNAcentral.
UACGAAGGUCCCGAGCGUUGUUCGGAAUCACUGGGCGUAAAGGGAGCGUAGGCGGUAUGGUAAGUCAGAUGUGAAAUCCCGGGGCUCAACCCCGGAACUGCAUCCGAUACUGCCGUGCUAGAGGGUUGGAGAGGUAGCAGGAAUUCACGGUGUAGCAGUGAAAUGCGUAGAUAUCGUGAGGAAGACCAAUGGCGAAAGCAUGCUACUGGACAACACCUGACGCUGAGGCUCGAAGGCCAGGGGAGCGAAUGGG